ACGCACGCUGGCGGCGUGCUUAACACAUGCAAGUCGAACGGAAAGGCCCUGCUUUUGUGGGGUGCUCGAGUGGCGAACGGGUGAGUAACACGUGAGUAACCUGCCCUUGACUUUGGGAUAACUUCAGGAAACUGGGGCUAAUACCGGAUAGGAGCUCCUGCUGCAUGGUGGGGGUUGGAAAGUUUCGGCGGUUGGGGAUGGACUCGCGGCUUAUCAGCUUGUUGGUGGGGUAGUGGCUUACCAAGGCUUUGACGGGUAGCCGGCCUGAGAGGGUGACCGGCCACAUUGGGACUGAGAUACGGCCCAGACUCCUACGGGAGGCAGCAGUGGGGAAUAUUGCACAAUGGGCGGAAGCCUGAUGCAGCAACGCCGCGUGCGGGAUGACGGCCUUCGGGUUGUAAACCGCUUUCGCCUGUGACGAAGCGUGAGUGACGGUAAUGGGUAAAGAAGCACCGGCUAACUACGU
RNAcentral lists this ribosomal RNA (466 nucleotides) under uncultured bacterium. RNAcentral describes it as "partial 16S ribosomal RNA". It matches the Rfam family "Bacterial small subunit ribosomal RNA", at positions 29 to 506 of the family's 1533-position model. The record is from RNAcentral.